GGAUGUGAGGGCGAUCUGGCCCAGACAUCUGUCACCCAAUUGAUUGCCGGGGUUGAUUCGGCUCAUCUGGCUGGCUAGGUGGGUGUCCCCUUGUCACCACCCAGUGUGCAGCCUCCCCAAAGCUGCAUACUUAGUCGAAGAGGACAACCCCCCCAAAUAAGAGGCCCCUCUCCUCAGUGAAGGGUACACGAGUAGCUACAUUCCCCUUCUAGAACCUCCAAACAAACUCUAAUUGCUGCUUUUCUUCAUGUAAAGAUCUAAGGCUCAUGGAGAUGUUAGUUGAGUGCCACAUUGUACGUGACACCCGUGACACUC
This is an unclassified non-coding RNA of Fukomys damarensis (Damara mole-rat), 315 nucleotides long. Its record names the gene 7SK. It matches the Rfam family "7SK RNA". From Rfam's summary of the family: 7SK was discovered as an abundant small nuclear RNA in the mid-70s but a possible function has only recently been suggested. Two independent studies have found that 7SK RNA binds the CDK9/cyclin T complex (known as elongation factor P-TEFb). P-TEFb activates transcription by phosphorylating the C-terminal domain of RNA polymerase II. The record is from Ensembl. Lineage: Eukaryota; Metazoa; Chordata; Mammalia; Rodentia; Bathyergidae.